Molecule: long non-coding RNA, 1105 nt
Organism: Anolis carolinensis (green anole)
Lineage: Eukaryota; Metazoa; Chordata; Lepidosauria; Squamata; Anolidae
Exons: 2
Source: RefSeq, a predicted model, not a curated record
CAGCUGCAUCAUCAAAGGCUCAGCCAAUCCCGGGCCAGGGAGACAAGAUUCAAAUUCUAACAGUGGAACAGACUCUACUUAACUCCUUACAGGAGCACAGGUUUCUCAGAUUUAUUCUUUGGGGCGGGAACCCAUAAGUUUCCCUCUCUGAUGAGGAUGAACAAUAAAAUGCCUCUGUCUUUAUCUUCAGCUGCUUUGGAUCAGCAAAGAAAAUUUUCAACUCAUAUCUUGAUGGAAAGUGGAAUUGCAACAGCUAUCAAAGUAUAAGAAAUAUGUUAGGUAGUGUGAGAGGAGGCUACAAACCUCCAUUAUGAGACAUCUUACCAGAUCUACUGAAAAGUUGCUUUUAUCAUCAAGAGCAGGAUCUGUGUUGUUUUUAAUGACAUUACAUGUUUUAAUUGUUUAAGUUUUACAUUGAUGUGAUCAAUGUUUAUGAAUUGUAUUAAUUAUGUUUGUUCGAUUUUCUUUUUAAGUUCUGUGAUCUGUACUUUUGGAUUUGUUUGUUUGAUUUAAUUCUUGAUUUGGAGUGUGAUUGAUACCAUGUAUACUGCUUUUUGUGUUGUGAGCCACCCCGGGUCCCCUUGGGGAGAAGGGGUGGGACAUAAAAUUUAUUAUUAUUAUUAUUAUUAUUAUUAUUAUUAUUAUUAUUAUGUAUUUAUUUUAAAAGUUGCUAAUUUGUUUAGUUUAUGUGCUGCUUACUUGGCUAGAAGCAAUCAUUGCUCUGAUUUGGAAUAACUAGAACUGCACCCUGAAUGUUCAUACCUUUUGUUCACGCCAUAAGAACAACACUAAACUGUCUCUAAAAUGUGAUGUUCCCAUAGGAGGAGGAAGAGUAAGAGAGAAUACAAUGACAGAUAUUCUGCUUUUGCAGAAAAAUAGCAAAGAAGUAGACUCAUCAACCUCUCAAGCUUCCCUGGAUGAGACCUGACAGGCACCUUUGACUUCACUUUACUGGGGAGCAUUAUUUUGUCUUUGGAUACAGUUUUUAACAUUCAUCAACAUGAUUGGUAUAUAAAUAUGUGAUAACAUAUUUAAAAAAUUAACUAACAUUAUUUUCAAGAUUCAGAAUAGGGAUGAAUUAUCAAAUAAAAUUAUUUUAAGUAUA